This 1000-nucleotide non-coding RNA is filed under the name Betula luminifera. The record is from RNAcentral. Lineage: Eukaryota; Viridiplantae; Streptophyta; Magnoliopsida; Fagales; Betulaceae.
AUUUUUUGUUAUUCUUUCUGCAUCUUUUAGGCAGGGGGUCCAACAUACUUUUUUCGUUGUACAUAGACACCCUUCAUCGGGCUAGUCCAUUUUUUAUAAAAUUGGUCUCUGCGCUUUCCACAACUUUGCCUAAACAGUCAAGGGCUUGUUUGUCUCUUUUUGUUUUUUUUUAGACUUAAUAAUUAAUUAAUAAAAGAAAGUAAAUAAAUUAAGUUGAUUAAAUUGGCUUUUUAAAUUGUACUCAAUUGGAGCAAUCUCACAAAAGUGAUGAGUUACAUGUGGGCUCUGCAUUCCGGACCGUUAAGAACAAGUGGGCCUUGCAAGUGCUCUCUCUUUGCAAUUCAGAGUAUUUGGGCUGCGAACAUCCUUAUUCCCAUUGAAAAUUUAUUUAGAAUAAAAAUGAAAUAAAAGUAUAGUACUGUAUUUACUCACUCAUUUAUUGUUUCAUCUGAAAAACGAAGUACAGUAUUACCAAAAAAUGGUGUAGCAAAAUUUCCACAGAAAGCAUCAUGGCUUUCAGUUAGUGUCCAAAGCAGUGCACCUUUUCUUUUUAUCUUUUCAGCCACAUGGAAAUUAUGCUCCUCUUGUGAACAAUAGUACAUAGUGUAUAGAGAGAGGCCAGAAGAGGACCACCACAGGUAAAGAUGAAGCACAGCCUAGGCUGAUGCUACAAUGCAUUAGUCUGGACACUUUUUUUGGAAUGGUGGACCCCAUUUCAAAAAAAAAAAAAAAAUUAUUUUUUUAUUUUAUUUUUAUACUAAAAGCAGUCCAGGCUGAUGCACUGUAGCAUCAGCCUGAGCUAAUGCCAAUCACCGCUCGGACCACCACAAAGCGUGCAGUACUGGAAAUGAAUGAUUUAAUUCCAUGUGUCCUCUUCCAGGUCAUGUAACACUAACCUCAGUACCUCACCACGAGUCAGGACCAAUAGUGCCUCUUUCUCUUGUCUCUUGUCUCUUUGUCUCUUGUGUAUGAUGUAUCUUUCAGCACGUACGUCGUAUAU